This 404-nucleotide ribosomal RNA is filed under the name Actinomycetes bacterium. Its description in RNAcentral is "Actinobacteria bacterium partial 16S ribosomal RNA". It matches the Rfam family "Bacterial small subunit ribosomal RNA", at positions 355 to 776 of the family's 1533-position model. The record is from RNAcentral. Lineage: Bacteria; Bacillati; Actinomycetota; Actinomycetes.
UGGGGAAUAUUGGACAAUGGGCGCAAGCCUGAUCCAGCCAUGCCGCGUGAGUGAUGAAGGCCCUAGGGUUGUAAAGCCCUCUCACCGGUGAAGAUAAUGACGGUAACCGGAGAAGAAGCCCCGGCUAACUUCGUGCCAGCAGCCGCGGUAAUACGAAGGGGGCUAGCGUUGUUCGGAUUUACUGGGCGUAAAGCGCACGUAGGCGGACUUUUAAGUCAGGGGUGAAAUCCCGGGGCUCAACCCCGGAACUGCCUUUGAUACUGGAAGUCUUGAGUAUGGUAGAGGUAAGUGGAAUUCCGAGUGUAGAGGUGAAAUUCGAAGAUAUUCAGAGGAACACCAGUGGCGAAGGCGGCUCACUGGACCAUUACUGACGCUAAGGUGCGAAAGCGUGGGGAGCAAACAGG